AGAGUUUGAUCCUGGCUCAGGAUGAACGCUGGCGGCGUGCCUAACACAUGCAAGUCGAACGUGAUCUUUAUUUCGGUAAAGUGAAAGUGGCGAACGGGUGAGUAACACGUUGGUGACCUGCCCCGAAGCGGGGGAUAACUCUGGGAAACCAGAGCUAAAACCCCAGAUGUUUAAGGGUUUAGACGCCUUAAACUAAAACUCCGGUGCUUCGGGAGGGGCCUGCGGGCUAUCAGCUAGUUGGUGGGGUAAAGGCCUACCAAGGCGAAGACGGCUAGGGGGCGUGAGAGCGUGACCCCCCACAAUGGAACUGAGAAACGGUCCAUACUCCUACGGGAGGCAGCAGUGAGGAAUAUUGAGCAAUGGGCGCAAGCCUGACUCAGCAACGCCGCGUGGAUGAUGACGGCCUUCGGGUUGUAAAAUCCUUUUCUGAGGGAAGAUAAUGACGGUACCUCAGGAAUAAGUUCCGGCUAACUACGUGCCAGCAGCCGCGGUAAAACGUA
RNAcentral lists this ribosomal RNA (500 nucleotides) under uncultured bacterium. Its description in RNAcentral is "bacterial SSU rRNA". It matches the Rfam family "Bacterial small subunit ribosomal RNA", at positions 8 to 529 of the family's 1533-position model. The record is from RNAcentral.